The submitters of this non-coding RNA (68 nucleotides) gave its source as unclassified sequences. The record is from Rfam.
CAUGCGGUGCCUGGCACCUGGGCAGCCAAAAUGCCCCGUGAUCAGGUAGCGGCAUGACCUAACGAGGU